UACGUAGGGUGCAAGCGUUAUCCGGAAUUAUUGGGCGUAAAGAGCUCGUAGGCGGUCUGUCGCGUCUGCUGUGAAAUCUGGGGGCUCAACCCCCAGCCUGCAGUGGGUACGGGCAGACUAGAGUGCGGUAGGGGAGAUUGGAAUUCCUGGUGUAGCGGUGGAAUGCGCAGAUAUCAGGAGGAACACCGAUGGCGAAGGCAGAUCUCUGGGCCGUAACUGACGCUGAGGAGCGAAAGCGUGGGGAGCGAACAGG
Molecule: ribosomal RNA, 253 nt
Filed under: uncultured bacterium
Lineage: Bacteria
Description: partial 16S ribosomal RNA
Rfam family: Bacterial small subunit ribosomal RNA
Source: RNAcentral